RNAcentral lists this ribosomal RNA (253 nucleotides) under uncultured bacterium. RNAcentral's name for it is "partial 16S ribosomal RNA". It matches the Rfam family "Bacterial small subunit ribosomal RNA", at positions 524 to 776 of the family's 1533-position model. The record is from RNAcentral.
UACGUAGGGGGCAAGCGUUGUCCGGAUUUAUUGGGCGUAAAGAGCGUGUAGGCGGCCUGGAAGGUCAGCUGUGAAAACUCGAGGCUCAACCUCGAGACGUCGGUUGAAACCACCUGGCUAGAGUCCGGAAGAGGAGUGUGGAAUUCCCGGUGUAGCGGUGGAAUGCGUAGAGAUCGGGAGGAACGUCAGUUGCGAAGGCGGCUCUCUGGACCAGCACUGACACUGAGGCACGAAAGCGUGGGGAGCAAACAGG